Molecule: small nucleolar RNA, 107 nt
Filed under: Thalictrum thalictroides
Lineage: Eukaryota; Viridiplantae; Streptophyta; Magnoliopsida; Ranunculales; Ranunculaceae
Description: Plant small nucleolar RNA R71
Rfam family: Plant small nucleolar RNA R71
About the family: R71 is a member of the C/D box family of snoRNAs containing the C (UGAUGA) and D (CUGA) box motifs. Multiple nearly identical copies of this snoRNA have been identified in Arabidopsis, and it is thought to function as a 2'-O-ribose methylation guide for 18S ribosomal RNA.
Source: Rfam by way of RNAcentral
AUUUGAUGAUGCGGACAUUGUAUCUGCAACUCCCCAAAUCUUUCCCAAGCUUCGAAGAACUCUUCCGUAUGUUUUUGUUUAAAAGUCUGGAUCAUGUUUCUCAACUC